This 694-nucleotide ribosomal RNA is filed under the name uncultured bacterium. Its description in RNAcentral is "bacterial SSU rRNA". It matches the Rfam family "Bacterial small subunit ribosomal RNA", at positions 32 to 715 of the family's 1533-position model. The record is from RNAcentral.
AACGCUAGCUACAGGCUUAACACAUGCAAGUCGCGGGGCAGCAUGAAUUUAGCUUGCUAAGGAAGAUGGCGACCGGCGCACGGGUGAGUAACGCGUAUCCAACCUUCCCAUGUCCACGGGAUAGCCCGUCGAAAGGCGGAUUAAUACCGUAUGAGGUCACAUGCGGGCAUCUAAGUGUGACGAAAGGUUUUGCGGACAUGGAUGGGGAUGCGUCCGAUUAGCUUGUUGGCGGGGUAACGGCCCACCAAGGCGACGAUCGGUAGGGGUUCUGAGAGGAAAGUCCCCCACAUUGGAACUGAGACACGGUCCAAACUCCUACGGGAGGCAGCAGUGAGGAAUAUUGGUCAAUGGACGCAAGUCUGAACCAGCCAAGUAGCGUGCAGGAUGACGGCCCUAUGGGUUGUAAACUGCUUUUAUGCGGGGAUAAAGUGUGGGACGUGUCCCAUAUUGCAGGUACCGCAUGAAUAAGGACCGGCUAAUUCCGUGCCAGCAGCCGCGGUAAUACGGAAGGUCCGGGCGUUAUCCGGAUUUAUUGGGUUUAAAGGGAGCGUAGGCCGGCUUUUAAGCGUGUUGUGAAAUGCCGCGGCUCAACCGUGGCACUGCAGCGCGAACUGGAGGUCUUGAGUGCGCGGGAGGUAGGCGGAAUUCGUGGUGUAGCGGUGAAAUGCUUAGAUAUCACGAAGAACUCCGAUUG